GGGCCCGCACAAGCGGUGGAGCAUGUGGUUUAAUUCGAUGAUACGCGAGGAACCUUACCAGGGCUUAAAUGUAGAUUGACAGGUUUGGAAACAGACUUUUCUUCGGACAAUCUGCAAGGUGCUGCAUGGUUGUCGUCAGCUCGUGCCGUGAGGUGUCAGGUUAAGUCCUAUAACGAGCGCAACCCCUACCGUUAGUUGCCAGCGAGUCAUGUCGGGGACUCUAGCGGAACUGCCGGCGUAAGCCGCGAGGAAGGUGGGGAUGACGUCAAAUCAUCACGGCCCUUACGUCCUGGGCUACACACGUGCUACAAUGGUACGGACAAUGAGCAGCCACAUGGUGACAUGGAGCUAAUCUUCAAACCGUAUCUCAGUUCGGAUCGAAGUCUGCAACUCGACUUCGUGAAGCUGGAAUCGCUAGUAAUCGG
This 425-nucleotide ribosomal RNA is filed under the name uncultured bacterium. Its description in RNAcentral is "bacterial SSU rRNA". It matches the Rfam family "Bacterial small subunit ribosomal RNA", at positions 917 to 1345 of the family's 1533-position model. The record is from RNAcentral.